UCAAGGUGGGUAACAAAGACCCUUCAGCAUGCAAUAGGAGCUCCUCCUGGAGGGUUUCCAUCGCCAUCGUCAUCGUCAUCAUCAUCGUCCUUGUGGAACUUCAACACUGCGCCUAAUAUUGGACCAAACGCAGUGCUCUUGUUUUUCUUCUUGGGUGGUUGUUGUUUCUUUUGCUGAAGAAGCUGCAAAAGUCAAUUCCUUAAUCUUGAGAAAAUUAAUUGGAUCCACACAUAUAUACAGACUAUGAUAUCUGUACGAAUAAACUAAGUUCCAAGAAAUUAACUAGUGGAAAAUAUAUACAAGGCUUACCUUCUUAAGUGCUGCUCUCAUUUCACUGCUAAACAUAUCUUUGUUUGCCUUACCAUACUCCAUUAGUUCUUUUGCAUUCAUGGUCUCCAGCCUUGCCAGCUGCCAACCAUGUCAUUGUAUACAGAAAUGAUGAGCAAGUAUAUAUGAUACAGUUGUGCUAAAAAUAAAUUAAAUAUAUGUUCUUUUGAUUCCUAGCUAAGAAAAGGUGCUGCCUCGGUCGAACGUUGUUUGUGAAACAACGAGAUUGUAAACAACUAAACAUUGAGACACUCUCCCAAGUAACCAAAAGUACAAAUAACAAAAUUGAUUAUAUAUCAUGAUACCAUUUACCCAUGCUUUGAAUUCCUUGAUGUGCCCCCUUACUGAAUUAUCUUCAUUAUCACCUGCAGCCAUAUCAAACAACAGGAUGAUUGCCGGGCAAAUGCCUCCUUUAGAAACUACAGGAUGAUCACUGUUUUGGUGAGGGCUUGUUGUUCUAGUUUCCAAGAACCUUAAGAAUGAUGAGUUUUAUUUAUAGGAGAACUUCACCAUCAGGUUAGUCUCACUACUUAUAUUUUUAGCACAAAAUAUAGAUUAGUUAAAGCAAAAGGCUACUUUGAUUGUUUCUUGUGAGAAGAUAUGAGCUAUUGCUAAAAACUACUUUACAGUAUGCCAACGAAAACUGUGGGAGUUUUCACUGGAUUUCAGGGCUAGUUUCAUAUUGGUUUCAUAUUGUACACUCCGAAGGUAAUAACAGCUGCAUGAUCAUGUCCGUAACCACACACGAGCAUUAUGACCUGAAUUCUUACAUCUGCAAGAUGGCUCUUUAGCACGAUACUUUCUUUGUGAUGAACUAAAGAAGUUAAACAGAUCAUGGUUUUUCUUGGGAUAUGUACAUGUUCCUCGUCCCUUCCGCACAACCCCAACUUUCCCUUUUCCUUAAUAUCUGCUCGUAAGUAGUAACUGCUGCGGUGCUGCCUUAUCCUCAGAAAAGAUAAGGUGGUGCUAGUUGUUAUCUUCUCCCAUAUUAAUUGCUUUUCUUAAGUAGCUGAUGUUUUAUUGCCAAGGCAAAAACCCUCUAGAACAAGUCAUGCCAUUAAAAACUGCCAAAGAUUAUGCAGACUAUACAAUGAUGUUGGAUGUGCUGUUUCCACGUAUUACAUUAGUAAAAGUUAUUUUUGAGUAUAUAAAUAAAUAUAUUUCAGGAAAAGAACACUUGCAGAUGCAUGUAAAAGGUGCCACUGGGUUCUUUUGAAUUUCCAAAGUGUCUCCUGAAACCUUUGAAAUUUUAGCCAGAUUCUAGGAGGGAGUUCGCAUGGUUUCUUGGCCUAAAUAAAAAAUUAAGCUACUCACUGUUGUUCUAGCACAUUCUAAAUUCAAGGAAGCUAAUGUUUAGGGUACACAAUUAUGUCCAUUUCAGUGCUAAUAGUAACUAUAUACAAUGUCUAAUGUUAUUUUAGACACUUCUUGUGUCUUCAACAUGCAAAUAGACUACAAACUUUUCCACAAAAAAUUUGCAUGUUCCUACGUAAUAUUCUACAGAUGAGAAUAGCCUUUCUCACUUAAAAUUCGAAUGAAUGGAACAUGAGAGGUCUAGAUCUUUUUUCAUGGAUCUUUGUCACCUAUGCAUGCGGGGUCUAGAUCUACAUAUAAAAAUAGCAUUGCUCAGAAAUAGAUACGAGGACAAUUCACAUCCGCCCCGUCAACUCUAUAAUUUGUUUUUUAGUAUAAAUGUUUGUGUGAGGCAAAUACGACCCAGCGAUUACGUUUGUGUUCACUGCACAGGUGGUUUGCCUUUCAUAUCACUACCCAAACACUAUGUUUCAAAUCACAACAAACAACAUCUUAGUAUGUGAAAGAAGAGAAGAACCUUAGAUGUGCAUAGGCUUCAGGUCAUGAUAGGCUUGACAACUAUCAUCAGCGCGGCAACCACCUGGAACACAUGUUUGUACACUGCAACAAUAUGUCAUUACUAGCAC
Molecule: long non-coding RNA, 2267 nt
Filed under: Triticum aestivum (bread wheat)
Lineage: Eukaryota; Viridiplantae; Streptophyta; Magnoliopsida; Poales; Poaceae
Description: long non-coding RNA (TAES_LNC013411)
Source: RNAcentral